RNAcentral lists this ribosomal RNA (847 nucleotides) under Corynebacterium sp. RNAcentral's name for it is "bacterial SSU rRNA". It matches the Rfam family "Bacterial small subunit ribosomal RNA", at positions 59 to 918 of the family's 1533-position model. The record is from RNAcentral. Lineage: Bacteria; Bacillati; Actinomycetota; Actinomycetes; Mycobacteriales; Corynebacteriaceae.
CAGUCGAACGAUGAUGCCCUGCUUGCAGGGUGGAUUAGUGGCGAACGGGUGAGUAACACGUGGGUGAUCUGCCCCGCACUUCGGGAUAAGCCUGGGAAACUGGGUCUAAUACCGGAUACGACCCCCUGGUAGGUCAGGGGGUGGAAAGAUUUUAUCGGUGUGGGAUGAGCCUGCGGCCUAUCAGCUUGUUGGUGGGGUAAUGGCCUACCAAGGCGUCGACGGGUAGCCGGCCUGAGAGGGUGAUCGGCCACAUUGGGACUGAGACACGGCCCAGACUCCUACGGGAGGCAGCAGUGGGGAAUAUUGCACAAUGGGCGCAAGCCUGAUGCAGCGACGCCGCGUGGGGGAUGACGGCCUUCGGGUUGUAAACUCCUUUCGACAGGGACGAAGCUUAUGUGACGGUACCUGUAGAAGAAGCACCGGCUAACUACGUGCCAGCAGCCGCGGUAAUACGUAGGGUGCGAGCGUUGUCCGGAAUUACUGGGCGUAAAGAGCUCGUAGGUGGUUUGUCGCGUCGUCUGUGAAAUCCCGGGGCUUAACCUCGGGCGUGCAGGCGAUACGGGCAUAACUUGAGUGCUGUAGGGGAGACUGGAAUUCCUGGUGUAGCGGUGAAAUGCGCAGAUAUCAGGAGGAACACCAAUGGCGAAGGCAGGUCUCUGGGCAGUAACUGACGCUGAGGAGCGAAAGCAUGGGUAGCGAACAGGAUUAGAUACCCUGGUAGUCCAUGCCGUAAACGGUGGGCGCUAGGUGUAGGGGACUUCCACGUCUUCUGUGCCGCAGCUAACGCAUUAAGCGCCCCGCCUGGGGAGUACGGCCGCAAGGCUAAAACUCAAAGGAAUUGACGGGG